This 1015-nucleotide long non-coding RNA is filed under the name Papio anubis (olive baboon). RNAcentral describes it as "lncRNA (ENSPANG00000046667.1)". Lineage: Eukaryota; Metazoa; Chordata; Mammalia; Primates; Cercopithecidae. The record is from RNAcentral.
AGAUGUUUCCAUUCAUUAAUGUAAGGGGCUAUGUGAUUAUCAAUUUUGUGUCAACUUUAGUAGGCCACAUUACCCAGAUAUUUUGUCAAACACCAGUCUGGAUGUUACAUGAAGUUAUUGUUUAGAUGAGAUUAAUAUUUAAAUCAGUAGAUGUUGACUAAAUCAGAUUACCUUAAAGGUCUUAAGAAAAAACCAGCUGAGAUCCAUCAUGAAGAGGAAAUUCUGCCUCCAGACUGUCUUUGGGGUCAAGAUUCCAUGCCAGCUCUCCAGUCUGUGGGCUUAUGCUACCAAUUUUGAACUUGCCAUCCUUCAUAAUCGCAUGGAAGAAGUUCUCCAAAUGCUUACAGAGAUUAGAAAGUUGGAGUGCAUUUAUUACAUGAGAGCUGGUCUCCUGCCCAUAACUAUGUCCCCAUUGUGAGAGUCCAGAAGACAUUCUCCGCAUUGAUGCUUUGAAAAACACAUUGUGAGUGAAACGCAAAAGUGAACAGACUCUGCUACACUGUUAACAUUUAUACUAUAAAUCUUCCCCCAGCCUCCCCCAAGGAACUUCUAGUCAUUUUCCCAGAUGACUGUGCAUUAGGGGAAGUAGUUAGGAUUUGGGGAUUACUCGUUGUUUGGAGCGCACUAUUUCCUGCAGACCCAACACUGGCAUUAUUCACCUGUCAAGAUUAACAGAGCUGUGUUUUAUGUCCAUCUCACAGUGACCACUGUGCCUCUGCAUCUACCGAUGAUGAUUUUCCAAAUUUUAGGAUGCAUAUUUGGAAUAGACAUACAAAGCAACCGGCAUCAGCCCACUUUAGUUUCCACACUAAUAUAGAACCAUGGGCUACUAUAAUGAACCAGGAAAGACAAAGUAGAAGAAAGAAAAAAUUGCUUCUACCUAUUAUAAUAGUAAAGGCAAAACAAUACUGCGUGUUUCUGGCAGGAUUGCAGAGGUUAGUGCCAACAUCCAGUUAAGUGAUUCUAAUCACUUCUUCUGUAAAAUUUGCCUUUUUGGCUGAAGCAAAACACAGAU